RNAcentral lists this ribosomal RNA (468 nucleotides) under uncultured bacterium. RNAcentral's name for it is "partial 16S ribosomal RNA". It matches the Rfam family "Bacterial small subunit ribosomal RNA", at positions 28 to 507 of the family's 1533-position model. The record is from RNAcentral.
GACGAACGCUGGCGGCGUGCUUAACACAUGCAAGUCGAACGGAAAGGCCCUGCUUUUGUGGGGUGCUCAAGUGGCGAACGGGUGAGUAACACGUGAGUAACCUGCCCUUGACUUUGGGAUAACUUCAGGAAACUGGGGCUAAUACCGGAUAGGAGCUCCUGCUGCAUGGUGGGGGUUGGAAAGUUUCGGCGGUUGGGGAUGGACUCGCGGCUUAUCAGCUUGUUGGUGGGGUAGUGGCUUACCAAGGCUUUGACGGGUAGCCGGCCUGAGAGGGUGACCGGCCACAUUGGGACUGAGAUGCGGCCCAGACUCCUACGGGAGGCAGCAGUGGGGAAUAUUGCACAAGGGGCGGAAGCCUGAUGCAGCAACGCCGCGUGCGGGAUGACGGCCUUCGGGUUGUAAACCGCUUUCGCCUGUGACGAAGCGUGAGUGACGGUAAUGGGUAAAGAAGCACCGGCUAACUACGUG